Molecule: unclassified non-coding RNA, 567 nt
Filed under: Sonerila spectabilis
Lineage: Eukaryota; Viridiplantae; Streptophyta; Magnoliopsida; Myrtales; Melastomataceae
Description: partial contains external transcribed spacer and small subunit ribosomal RNA
Source: RNAcentral
AGUUCGGGACUCGUCUCGAUCAUCCGUUUGGCUUCUCCUCGCGGAGAUGUCGUCGGAUCGAUCGUCGUGUGCUGAGUUGUGAUGGGACGACGCAUGAGUGGCGGUCGAGAUAUUUUCAUCGCAGGCUCCAUGCUUUUUGCAUCGAACUGCGUUGGCUUAUCUUUUUCAUUAGCGGGCUCUCCUAUCGCUUCUAGCGUUGGUUGUGGUCGCUCGUUUGGGUUCCUGCGUGGACUUUCGGAGUCGACAUUCGGAUGGACUUUUGUCCCGGCUCAAUUUGUGAAUCCUCCCUCGCUUCGUGCGGUGUCGGUGGUGAUUGUGUUUUUGUCGGCAAUCGUCAUAUGAGUUGUUCAGUCGCUCGUGAUGGCUUGCCGAUGCAAUCGGUUUUCUCGGGUGCGGAGAAUUUCUUGUCCAUCGCAUCGGUCAUCGGCCCUUGUGAGCGUAACAUUACUAAGCAUUGUCGCUUUUGUUUUACGACCCUCGUUCUCCUCCGGGAGAUCACGGAGCUUUGAAGUUCCGUGUCGUGACCGGAGAGCAAUCGAGGUCGAGGACGGAAUCUACCUGGUUGAU